UACAGAGGUCUCGAGCGUUGUUCGGAUUUACUGGGCGUAAAGGGAGCGUAGGCGGUUUGGUGUGUCGAAUGUGAAAUCCCACAACUCAACUGUGGAAUGGCAUUCGAAACUACCAAGCUAGAGUACUGGAGAGGAGAGCGGAAUUCUUGGUGUAGCGGUGAAAUGCGUAGAUAUCAAGAGGAACACCGGUGGCGAAGGCGGCUCUCUGGACAGAUACUGACGCUGAGGCUCUAAAGUUAGGGGAGCAAACAGG
This 253-nucleotide ribosomal RNA is filed under the name uncultured bacterium. Its description in RNAcentral is "partial 16S ribosomal RNA". It matches the Rfam family "Bacterial small subunit ribosomal RNA", at positions 524 to 776 of the family's 1533-position model. The record is from RNAcentral.